GCAGCGGUAUCGAAGUGGUCAUAACGGGACUGACUCGAAAUCAGUUGACAGUUGAUUCUGUCCGUGGGUUCGAAUCCCACCCGCUGCGCCA
This 91-nucleotide transfer RNA is filed under the name Angelakisella sp. RNAcentral describes it as "tRNA-Ser". It matches the Rfam family "tRNA". From Rfam's summary of the family: Transfer RNA (tRNA) molecules are approximately 80 nucleotides in length. Their secondary structure includes four short double-helical elements and three loops (D, anti-codon, and T loops). Lineage: Bacteria; Bacillati; Bacillota; Clostridia; Eubacteriales; Oscillospiraceae. The record is from RNAcentral.